Molecule: unclassified non-coding RNA, 594 nt
Filed under: Carex cruciata
Lineage: Eukaryota; Viridiplantae; Streptophyta; Magnoliopsida; Poales; Cyperaceae
Description: partial external transcribed spacer 1
Source: RNAcentral
UUUUGGACUUGCUUUGCAUGUYGGGCUCCCUGCACUUUUGGUGCGGCCAACCGAACAUAGGGCUGUCUCUUCACUCUCCCUCCCGUCAUUGAACAUGUCGUGGUUGGGAUGCUUUCGAUCGGUUGCCUGUGCGGUUCUACCCACUUGUGGGUAGCGAAGUUGUCCCUUGAUGGAUAUUUGCUUGCCCCUUGACAUUUUUUUGUCGCUUGGGCAGCCGAAAUGUUGGUGAAAUCCUUGUGUUCGCGCGCGGUGGAAUGCUGUGUUGCUCUCACUUGUAUUUUUGCCGGCUCUCUCGGAUGCGGUGCCUAGUGCUAGAUCUGYGGGACUUUUGCCCCGCAGGCUUCGGGAGGUCCCUUGUACAAAUCAUUGCUCUUAUACGCCGUCUGUCGUGUUGCCGGUGGCGACACGYAGAUCGUGUUCUUUCGCGUUGUCGUUGACAGCAAGAUAGCGAACAUUAGUGUCCGGAGCGUGGUCUUGUGCAUGUGGAUUGCCUCUUCGAUCGUAUGAGCAGCGAUUUUCGGUUUGCGUCAAGCGAAGGCCCGCCCGUUCGGGUCGGUGCUGGAGCUGACGUGCCGGCUCUCGUUUAAGACGUGC